CGGGAAAUUUAGUAAAAGACAAAGGAUUUCUUUGUCUACUAAUCAUCCCAUGCAGUUUUGAUGAGGAAAGAUUAAUAGACAAAGAAAUCUUUUGUUGUUUACUAAAUUUCCCG
RNAcentral lists this microRNA precursor (113 nucleotides) under Paramuricea clavata. Lineage: Eukaryota; Metazoa; Cnidaria; Anthozoa; Malacalcyonacea; Plexauridae. The record is from RNAcentral.